RNAcentral lists this ribosomal RNA (486 nucleotides) under uncultured bacterium. RNAcentral describes it as "partial 16S ribosomal RNA". It matches the Rfam family "Bacterial small subunit ribosomal RNA", at positions 899 to 1397 of the family's 1533-position model. The record is from RNAcentral.
ACUCAAAGGAAUUGACGGGGGCCCGCACAAGCAGCGGAGCGUGUGGUUUAAUUCGAGGCUACGCGAAGAACCUUACCCAGGUUUGACAUGUAGGUAGUAGGGAAGUGAAAGCGGACCGACUCGCAAGAGAGCCUACACAGGUGAUGCAUGGCUGUCGUCAGCUCGUGCCGUGAGGUGUUUGGUUAAGUCCAGUAACGAGCGCAACCCCUAGGGUCAGUUACAAGUGUCUGGCCCGACUGCCGGUCUUAAGCCGGAGGAAGGUGGGGAUGACGUCAAGUCAGCAUGUCCUUUAUAUCUGGGGCUACACACACGCUACAAUGGGUAAUACAAUGGGUCGCCAACCCGCGAGGGGGAGCCAAUCCUAAAAAAUUACCCUCAGUUCAGAUCGCAGGCUGCAACUCGCCUGCGUGAAGUCGGAGUUGCUAGUAAACGCAGGACAGCUAUACUGCGUUGAAUACGUUCCCGGGCCUUGUACACACCGCCCGU